UAGGGAACCUUCCACAAUGGACGAAAGUCUGAUGGAGCAACGCCGCGUGAGUGAUGAAGGGUUUCGGCUCGUAAACUCUGUUGUUAGAGAAGAACAGGUGUCAGAGUAACUGUUGACAUCUUGACGGUAUCCAACCAGAAAGCCACGGCUAACUACGUGCCAGCAGCCGCGGUAAUACGUAGGUGGCAAGCGUUGUCCGGAUUCAUUGGGCGUAAAGCGAGCGCAGGCGGUUUCUUAGGUCUGAUGUGAAAGCCUUCGGCUUAACCGGAGAAGUGCAUCGGAAACCAGGAGACUUGAGUGCAGAAGAGGACAGUGGAACUCCAUGUGUAGCGGUGAAAUGCGUAGAUAUAUGGAAGAACACCAGUGGCGAAGGCGGCUGUCUGGUCUGUAACUGACGCUGAGGCUCGAAAGCAUGGGUAGCGAACAGGAUUAGAUACCCUGGUAGUCCAUGCCGUAAACGAUGAGUGCUAAGUGUUGGAGGGUUUCCGCCCUUCAGUGCUGCAGCUAACGCAUUAAG
RNAcentral lists this ribosomal RNA (517 nucleotides) under uncultured bacterium. Its description in RNAcentral is "partial 16S ribosomal RNA". It matches the Rfam family "Bacterial small subunit ribosomal RNA", at positions 355 to 864 of the family's 1533-position model. The record is from RNAcentral.